This 90-nucleotide transfer RNA is filed under the name Acidobacterium sp. RNAcentral's name for it is "tRNA-Ser". It matches the Rfam family "tRNA". Rfam says of the family: Transfer RNA (tRNA) molecules are approximately 80 nucleotides in length. Their secondary structure includes four short double-helical elements and three loops (D, anti-codon, and T loops). RNAcentral also lists the same sequence under 1 other name. The record is from RNAcentral. Lineage: Bacteria; Pseudomonadati; Acidobacteriota; Terriglobia; Terriglobales; Acidobacteriaceae.
GGAGAGGUGUCCGAGUGGUUGAAGGAGCACGCUUGGAAAGCGUGUGUACAAGAAAUUGUACCAAGGGUUCGAAUCCCUUUCUCUCCGCCA